GAUGAACGCUGGCGGCGUGCCUAAUACAUGCAAGUCGAACGCUUCACUUCGGUGAAGAGUGGCGAACGGGUGAGUAAUACAUAAGUAACCUGGCAUCUACAGGGGGAUAACUGAUGGAAACGUCAGCUAAGACCGCAUAGGUGUAGAGAUCGCAUGAACUCUAUAUGAAAAGUGCUACGGGACUGGUAGAUGAUGGACUUAUGGCGCAUUAGCUUGUUGGUAGGGUAACGGCCUACCAAGGCGACGAUGCGUAGCCGACCUGAGAGGGUGACCGGCCACACUGGGACUGAGACACGGCCCAGACUCCUACGGGAGGCAGCAGUAGGGAAUUUUCGGCAAUGGGGGAAACCCUGACCGAGCAACGCCGCGUGAAGGAAGAAGUAAUUCGUUAUGUAAACUUCUGUCAUAGAGGAAGAACGGUGGAUAUAGGGAAUGAUAUCCAA
Molecule: ribosomal RNA, 443 nt
Filed under: uncultured bacterium
Lineage: Bacteria
Description: bacterial SSU rRNA
Rfam family: Bacterial small subunit ribosomal RNA
Source: RNAcentral